GACGAACGCUGGCGGCGUGCCUAACACAUGCAAGUCGAACGGAAAGGCCCUGCUUUUGUGGGGUGCUCGAGUGGCGAACGGGUGAGUAACACGUGAGUAACCUGCCCUUGACUUUGGGAUAACUUCAGGAAACUGGGGCUAAUACCGGAUAGGAGCUCCUGCUGCAUGGUGGGGGUUGGAAAGUUUCGGCGGUUGGGGAUGGACUCGCGGCUUAUCAGCUUGUUUGUGGGGUAGUGGAUUACCAAGGCUUUGACGGGUAGCCGGCCUGAGAGGGUGACCGGCCACAUUGGGACUGAGAUACGGCCCAGACUCCUAAGGGAGGCAGCAGGGGGGAAUAUUGCAGAAUGGGCGGAAGCCUGAUGCAGCAACGCCGCGUGCGGUAUGACGGCCUUCGGGUUGUAAACCGCUUUCGCCUGUGACGAAGCGUGAGUGACGGUAAUGGGUAAAGAAGCACCGGCUAACUACGUG
Molecule: ribosomal RNA, 468 nt
Filed under: uncultured bacterium
Lineage: Bacteria
Description: partial 16S ribosomal RNA
Rfam family: Bacterial small subunit ribosomal RNA
Source: RNAcentral